This 294-nucleotide ribosomal RNA is filed under the name uncultured bacterium. RNAcentral's name for it is "partial 16S ribosomal RNA". It matches the Rfam family "Bacterial small subunit ribosomal RNA", at positions 775 to 1067 of the family's 1533-position model. The record is from RNAcentral.
GGAUUAGAUACCCUGGUAGUCCACGCAGUAAACGAUGAGUGCUAGAUAUUGGGGCAAUUAAGUCUCAGUGUCGCAGCUAACGCAUUAAGCACUCCGCCUGGGGAGUACGAUCGCAAGAUUAAAACUCAAAGGAAUUGACGGGGACCCGCACAAGCGGUGGAAGAUGUGGUUUAAUUCGAUGCUACGCGAAGAACCUUACCAGACCUUGACAUAGUAGUCGUAUUUCUAGGAGACUAGAAAGUCAGUUCGGCUGGACUAUUACAGGUGUUGCAUGGCUGUCGUCAGCUCGUGUCG